This 1106-nucleotide long non-coding RNA is filed under the name Olea europaea subsp. europaea. Lineage: Eukaryota; Viridiplantae; Streptophyta; Magnoliopsida; Lamiales; Oleaceae. The record is from RNAcentral.
UUCCAAACCUUUCAAAACGUUACGGAUGAAGCCACAACGGAUGGAUUCCAUCUAUAUUUCUGUUAGUUGACCGAAAAAUUGAACUAUAACCACAUAUUAAUCAAUUAUAAAAGGGUAAAAUUGUAAUUUUAUAUUUUUCUCACAAAAAAACUUAAAUAAAAAACAACAGAAAAAAGAAGAAAACAAAAUAAAAACGGAAAAAAUAAAAUCUUCUCCUCCUUUACCCCCCCAAAACCGAAAAUCCACCGUCACCACCACCUCACCCAAAAUCGACCACCACCUCCUAACGGCCAUUGGCAUGGCCAUCUUCCAUUAGCACUCAAAACUGACCAUCUCCAAGAGCCUAAUUUCUAAUCUAUAAAAUAGUUUUAUUGCAUCCCCACAUGCCAAUCUACAUUCAUCAAUUGAAUCAAGGCUUUACCUUCAGUUCUUCUCUCUUUACAAAGCCAGGAACUCAAGAACCUGGGUUUUGUUUUUUUUGGGAAAAUGAUUUUGGACAAAGAAGAUUGGGUUUGAGUCAAACUUGAUUUUCCCAGCAAAAAAAUGGAUGUGUAUAUAUAUACACACACACGACGAAAAAGCUGUUAACAACUUAACAAGCAGCAAGACACAGUUAGUAUCUGAAAAAUUGAUCCACUUCUUCUUCUUCUUUUUGUCGACCUCGGCUUUCAGAUUCCACAUUUUUUUUUUGGUUAUUUAAUCUUGACAAAUUAUGUAGCAAGUUUUUCUGAACGCAUUUGGCGUGGUUAUAGCAAAUCGAGAACCAAGAGGGUUCUGAAGGGUAUUGAUGUUAACCGCUUGCCUGCAGCGGCAGACUUGGAGGAGGAGGAGGUCGGAGUGUCUACGCCCAACAGUACAAUCUCAAGCGUAAGUGGGAAAACGGAGCGAAAGAGAACCUACUGACGGCGAUUAGCACGAACUCUAUAGGGAUUAUUGCCAAGGCAUCAGGGAUAAGGAAGAUGGUGACGGAUCCCAGAAAAAGCUAGGGCUUUCAAAAGAUGGCCAUUUUUGAGUGCUAAUGGAAGAUGGCGAUGUCGGUGGAUUUUCGAUUUUGGGUUAGGGAUUGGGGUUGGGGUUGGGGUUGGGGUGGGGUUGGGAGUGGGAGU